RNAcentral lists this ribosomal RNA (423 nucleotides) under Plasmodium inui. RNAcentral's name for it is "partial 18S ribosomal RNA". It matches the Rfam family "Eukaryotic small subunit ribosomal RNA", at positions 684 to 1082 of the family's 1831-position model. The record is from RNAcentral. Lineage: Eukaryota; Apicomplexa; Aconoidasida; Haemosporida; Plasmodiidae.
AUUGGGUGCAUUAUUAAAUGAUUCUUUUUAGAUCUUUCUUUUUUGCUUCGGCAUUUUAGGAGAUCUUGUUACUUUGAGUAAAUUAGAGUGUUCAAAGCAAACAGAUUAUAGCAUCUUUAUGCGUUUGAAUACUACAGCAUGGAAUAACAAAAUUGAACAAGUCAGAAUUUUGUUCUUUUUUCUUAUUUUGGCUUAGUUACGAUUAAUAGGAGUAGCUUGGGGGCAUUUGUAUUCAGAUGUCAGAGGUGAAAUUCUUAGAUUUUCUGGAGACAAACAACUGCGAAAGCAUUUGCCUAAAAUACUUCCAUUAAUCAAGAACGAAAGUUAAGGGAGUGAAGACGAUCAGAUACCGUCGUAAUCUUAACCAUAAACUAUGCCGACUAGGCUUUGGAUGAAAGAUGUAAAAAACAAUUUCUUCCCCCA